RNAcentral lists this ribosomal RNA (460 nucleotides) under uncultured bacterium. Its description in RNAcentral is "partial 16S ribosomal RNA". It matches the Rfam family "Bacterial small subunit ribosomal RNA", at positions 338 to 795 of the family's 1533-position model. The record is from RNAcentral.
CCUACGGGAGGCAGCAGUGAGGAAUAUUGGUCAAUGGGCGGAAGCCUGAACCAGCCAAGUCGCGUGAGGGAAUAAGGCCCUACGGGUCGUAAACCUCUUUUGCCGGGGAGCAAGGGCGGGGACGUGUCCCGGCCCGGAGAGUACCCGGAGAAAAAGCAUCGGCUAACUCGGUGCCAGCAGCCGCGGUAAGACGGAGGAUGGGGGCGUUAUCCGGAUUUAUUGGGCGUAAGGGGUGCGUAGGCGGCCUGCUAAGUCUGGGGUGAAGGGUACCGGGCAAAUCGGGAUAGGCUCGGGAAACUGGCGGGCUAGAGAGCAGGAGAGGGCGGUGGAACUCCAUGUGUAGCGGUAAAAUGCGUAGAUAUAUGGAAGAACACCAGUGGCGAAGGCGGGCGCCUGGCCUGUUACUGACGCUGAGGCACGAAAGCGUGGGGAGCAAAUAGGAUUAGAUACCCUAGUAGUC